RNAcentral lists this transfer RNA (66 nucleotides) under Schistosoma mansoni. Lineage: Eukaryota; Metazoa; Platyhelminthes; Trematoda; Strigeidida; Schistosomatidae. The record is from RNAcentral.
UUAUUUGCAUUUUAUCAGUGUGACGUGAUACAGAUAUCAAAGGAGAUAUUAUUAUGAGAUGCUGGA